AGUGAACGCUAGCGGCAGGCCUAACACAUGCAAGUCGAGCGGCAGCGGGUCCUUCGGGAUGCCGGCGAGCGGCGGACGGGUGAGGAAUGCAUCGGAAUCUGCCCUGUCGUGGGGGAUAACCUAGGGAAACUUAGGCUAAUACCGCAUACGACCCACGGGUGAAAGCGGGGGAUCGCAAGACCUCGCGCGAUAGGAUGAGCCGAUGUCCGAUUAGCUAGUUGGCGGGGUAAAGGCCCACCAAGGCGACGAUCGGUAGCUGGUCUGAGAGGAUGAUCAGCCACACUGGGACUGAGACACGGCCCAGACUCCUACGGGAGGCAGCAGUGGGGAAUAUUGGACAAUGGGCGCAAGCCUGAUCCAGCCAUGCCGCGUGGGUGAAGAAGGCCUUCGGGUUGUAAAGCCCUUUUGUCCGGGAAGAAAUCGUCUGGGCUAAUACCCCGGGCGGAUGACGGUACCGGAAGAAUAAGCACCGGCUAACUUCGUG
RNAcentral lists this ribosomal RNA (484 nucleotides) under uncultured bacterium. RNAcentral describes it as "partial 16S ribosomal RNA". It matches the Rfam family "Bacterial small subunit ribosomal RNA", at positions 30 to 507 of the family's 1533-position model. The record is from RNAcentral.